GAUUCUACCAGAUAAAGAUGAGGCACAGACUACUGGACAUCUCCCACUAAUGUGCAUUCAAGAAAGAAGGGAGCCAGGUGGUGGUAGCACACACCUUUAAUCCCAGCACUCAGGAAGCAGAGGCAGAAGAAUCUCUAAGUUCGAGGCCAGCCUUGGCUACAGAGAGAGCUCCAGGAAAGCCAAGGCUACAGAGCAACCCUAUCUCAAAAAAAAAAAAUAAAAAUAAAAAUAAAAAUAAAAGAGGAACAAGAGAAAGGUUUGUGUAGGAGAAAGAAAGGGAGCAGAGGAGACUAGCGGUGGCAGAGAGAGUAAAGAAGAGGCCGUGUGUUAAGUGCCCUUAACAGCCCAGCCCGGAGCUUAAGUGACUCAGUCACCAAACUGUUAGUGUGUGCCUACCACACGCCAGAGCCUAUUAUCAGCAUUAGAAAACCUCAGGGAGCCAAGGAACAAACCUGCCCGCUAGGGCUCGAAAUCUUAGGCAGAGAAGGAACUUGAACUUCCGGAACUUGUUUUGAAUGCCAGGUCUUAAGGCAAGCCUUUUUUCCUUCUAAAGACUCAAUCUCCAAGUAACAGCAGGGUAGAAAGCCAGUAUUUUCAAGACAAUGAAGACAUCUCUGCCUAAACUAGCCAUUUGGAAACACCUGAUUGUUAUGCUAUCAACCAUUUAUCCUAUCACCCUACAGAACUCUAUUCCUCUUACCCUAUUGUACCCUCACCUGUUAACCCCCAUUUCACUAUCCCUUCCUUCCCAUGAGAUCAUUAUUCUCUCGCCUUCUUUUAGAUCAACAUUUCAGCUUUCACAUAUAAGUGACAGUAAGCAGUACUUAUCUUUCUGUCCCUGAAUUUUUGUUGCUGCUUUUG
This is a long non-coding RNA of Meriones unguiculatus (Mongolian gerbil), 861 nucleotides long. RefSeq lists it as uncharacterized. Lineage: Eukaryota; Metazoa; Chordata; Mammalia; Rodentia; Muridae. The transcript has 3 exons. The record is from RefSeq and is a predicted model, not a curated record.